Regulatory RNA element from Firmicutes bacterium CAG:791, 119 nucleotides. It matches the Rfam family "Glycine riboswitch aptamer". Rfam says of the family: This family represents the bacterial glycine riboswitch. Glycine riboswitches usually consist of two metabolite-binding aptamers domains with similar structures in tandem. NCBI's taxonomy places the organism in Bacteria, Bacillati, Bacillota. The record is from Rfam.
CGGAGUGGCUCUGGAGAAGCUCCGGAUUUACGGAGUGCCGAAGGUGCAAGCACGGAGAAGAUCAUUUUAAAAGGAAAUCGUCUCCGCAAUCUCUCAGGCAAAAGGACAGAGUGAUAUAU